Molecule: non-coding RNA, 135 nt
Organism: Triticum aestivum (bread wheat)
Lineage: Eukaryota; Viridiplantae; Streptophyta; Magnoliopsida; Poales; Poaceae
Source: Rfam
UAAAUACUCCUUGCGUCCGGAAAUACUUGUCGUCAAAAUGGAUAGAAAGAGAUGUAUCUAGAACUAAAAUACGUCUAAAUACAUCCCCUUUUGUCCAUUUUGAUGAGAAGUAUUUCUGGACGGAGGGAGUAUAUC